AGUGCGACUUCGCACUUAGGCGGAGCGGUAGUGUGAGGAAGCCUCCCGCCAAACAGACGAGAGAGGAAGAGGAGGGGAGGGGCCAGAGAGAGAAGCGGCUUUCGGGAAGGAAAGUGUGGUCUAUUGUUUUUUUUUUUCUUCUCCAGAAUGUCCCUCUAUUUGGAUUUGGAUUACAAAAGUUCAACAAUUUUUGGAAAAAUCCUACCUAGGUAAUGUGUCGUUCUCAGUGCAUCAUGUCAGGCAGCUUAUGAUGCCAAUUUGUCCCAUGGCCCCCCUGAGAGAAUCUUCGGCACAUAUGAUGCCCUCUAUUGAUGUUUGCUGAAUAGAUGAGGAUGCCAAAAGAGGGAGGAGAUACCAAAAGAGGGAAAGAAGGACACCCAGAAGACAAAUGGUGCUCACCUUGAGCCUCGAGGUCUUUAGGAAAACGGUGACUCUGGAGCACAGCCCUGGAUCCCUGAUGGCAGGUGGAUGAAUCUGCUCACCACCUGGAUGCUGCUAGUCCUUUCUCCAGCUCCGUGACUGAAAAUGUGCUUUACUUCGCAAAAGCUAUUUCUCCUCAGAA
Molecule: non-coding RNA, 562 nt
Filed under: Pongo abelii (Sumatran orangutan)
Lineage: Eukaryota; Metazoa; Chordata; Mammalia; Primates; Hominidae
Source: RNAcentral